This 239-nucleotide ribosomal RNA is filed under the name uncultured bacterium. Its description in RNAcentral is "partial 16S ribosomal RNA". It matches the Rfam family "Bacterial small subunit ribosomal RNA", at positions 524 to 762 of the family's 1533-position model. The record is from RNAcentral.
UACGUAGGGUGCAAGCGUUAAUCGGAAUUACUGGGCGUAAAGCGUGCGCAGGCGGCUAUGCAAGACAGAUGUGAAAUCCCCGGGCUCAACCUGGGAACUGCAUUUGUGACUGCAUAGCUAGAGUACGGUAGAGGGGGAUGGAAUUCCGCGUGUAGCAGUGAAAUGCGUAGAUAUGCGGAGGAACACCGAUGGCGAAGGCAAUCCCCUGGACCUGUACUGACGCUCAUGCACGAAAAGCG